RNAcentral lists this ribosomal RNA (251 nucleotides) under uncultured bacterium. RNAcentral describes it as "partial 16S ribosomal RNA". It matches the Rfam family "Bacterial small subunit ribosomal RNA", at positions 524 to 777 of the family's 1533-position model. The record is from RNAcentral.
UACGAAGGGGCUAGCGUUGCUCGGAAUCACUGGGCGUAAAGGGUGCGUAGGCGGGUCUUUAAGUCAGGGUGAAAUCCUGGAGCUCAACUCCAGAACUGCCUUUGAUACUGAAGAUCUUGAGUUCGGAGAGGUGAGUGGAACUGCGAGUGUAGAGGUGAAAUUCGUAGAUAUUCGCAAGAACACCAGUGGCGAAGGCGGCUCACUGGCCCGAUACUGACGCUGAGGCACGAAAGCGUGGGGAGCAAACAGGG